This 269-nucleotide ribosomal RNA is filed under the name uncultured prokaryote. Its description in RNAcentral is "partial 16S ribosomal RNA". It matches the Rfam family "Bacterial small subunit ribosomal RNA", at positions 524 to 792 of the family's 1533-position model. The record is from RNAcentral.
UACGUAGGUGGCGAGCGUUGUCCGGAUUUACUGGGCGUAAAGGGAGCGUAGGCGGACUUUUAAGUGAGAUGUGAAAUACCCGGGCUCAACUUGGGUGCUGCAUUUCAAACUGGAAGUCUAGAGUGCAGGAGAGGAGAAUGGAAUUCCUAGUGUAGCGGUAAAAUGCGUAGAGAUUAGGAAGAACACCAGUGGCGAAGGCGAUUCUCUGGACUGUAACUGACGCUGAGGCUCGAAAGCGUGGGGAGCAAACAGGAUUAGAUACCCGUGUA